GCAUUGUUGGUUCAGUGGUAGAAUUCUCGUCUCCCACGCGGGAGACCCAGGUCCUAUUCCUGGCCAAUGCA
Molecule: non-coding RNA, 71 nt
Organism: Danio rerio (zebrafish)
Lineage: Eukaryota; Metazoa; Chordata; Actinopteri; Cypriniformes; Danionidae
Source: Rfam